Molecule: ribosomal RNA, 480 nt
Filed under: Triticum aestivum (bread wheat)
Lineage: Eukaryota; Viridiplantae; Streptophyta; Magnoliopsida; Poales; Poaceae
Description: partial small subunit ribosomal RNA
Source: RNAcentral
AUGUCGAGCUCUGAGAUGGAGGACUCCUCGCUGAGCAGCGACAUCAGGUUCUACGCGUACGCGGUUCUCGCGUCGUUCGGCGUGGCGGCGGUCCUCGUGGUGUGCUUCUGGCAGCUGUACAAACUCACCGUGUCCGCGCGGCCGCAGGACAUGCUGCCCGUCUCUUCCUCCCGCGGUAAUGUGGCGGCGCUGAGGCUGAGGGACAUCUCGGCGCUCCCCGUGUUCGUGUACGGCGGCAAUGGCGACGGCGCCCCUGUGGGCGUGGAGUGCGCGGUGUGCCUCGCGGAGAUGACGGAUGGCGAGAGGGGCCGGCUCUUGCCACGGUGCGGACACCGGUUCCACGUCGAGUGCAUCGACCGGUGGUUCCGGUCCAACUCCUCAUGCCCGCUCUGCCGCGUCGCCGUCUUCGGCGAGCCGAGCACGCUGGAGGCGCACAAGGGUGCCUCCUUGUCUGUGCCCGCGGUUGUGUUGCAAGGUUGA